This 1410-nucleotide long non-coding RNA is filed under the name Homo sapiens (human). Its description in RNAcentral is "non-protein coding lnc-ZNF316-3:4". The record is from RNAcentral. Lineage: Eukaryota; Metazoa; Chordata; Mammalia; Primates; Hominidae.
GUGCGCAGGCGCUUGCGGCUUCGCGGGGCUGACCGUGCGCUUCGCCUGCGGGGUCGUGCUGGGGCGGCGGGUACGCUAUUUGAAGAACAGGUUUCCAUGCUCUUAGAGGAGCAUCAGAAAAUGAACAAACCCCAGAAGUCCAGAAAUUAAGAGACCUGAUAAAGGGAAGCCAGGAAAAUCGAGAUGCAUAUUUGUGGUACACUUCAGUUCUCAGUAACAACACACUGACUAAGAAGAGGGAAUACGUUUUUGGGAAAAACCUUAAUCUGGGUGCAAACCCAGUUUCUUCAAGAAAAAUAGCCUGUUAGUAUGACUCAUGUGGAAUGAGUUUGAAUACGUUUCAGAAUCAAGUAUUAGUGAUAAAAAUUAUGCCAGUAAUAACACUGAUGAAAUUAAUAUAAGUGAGAAGUUGCCUUUUGAUAGUAAUCAGGAAAACACUCAUACUGGGAAGAAAUCUGUUGUAUAUAACCAAAGUGGGAAGUCACCAAGUCAUAGUGAGGACCUUAUUAAGGAACAGGAAAUUCAAGCUUUAGCCCACCUUUGGAAGCUAAUGAACAUGGAAAUCCCUUCCUUGAGAAGGUAGCCACCAUCACACAAGAGACAGCUCAAACAAGAGAGAAACCCUGUGAUUAUAAGGAGCAUGGGGAAAAUGUCAGUGCCACAUCAGCUCCCAGAGUUCAUCAAGAAAUUCACACAAGGAAGAAUCACUCUGAAGUUAACGAGUGUGAGAAGUCAACCUUCUUCAAACAUCAGAAAGUUAAUACAGGGGUGAAAACCCAGGGAGCUAAUGAAAAUGAGAAUUUCAGUCACAAGUCACAUCUCAGUCUGCCUCAUAGAACUCACACAGUAGAGAAAACUUUUGAAUGUAGUCAUGGCAAGAAAUCUUUUUGCCAGGAGUCCCACUUCACUGAGCAUCACAGGACAUGCACAAGAGAGAAACCAUGUGAAAGUAAUAAAUAUGGGAAAACCUUCCAGAAAUGACAACUUACCAACUCUCAGAUAAUGCAUCGAGAAGAGAAACCCCAUGAAUCUGGUAAAACCCUUGUGAAGUCAGCCCUCACUGAUCACCAGAUAAGUCAAUCAGAAAAGAAGCUUUAUGUAUGUAGUGACUGUAAGAAACGUUUUUGUCAUAGCUCAGUCCUAAGAGUCCAUCAGAGUAUUCACACAGGGAGAAACCCUAUCAGUGUAAUGGGAAAUCCUAAGCAAAAUCAAACUUCAGUCAUCAUCAGAGAACUCACACAGGGGAGAAACCAUAUGAAUGUAAGGAAUGUAGGAAAUCCUUCCAUGUGAAACCAAACCUCACUAAACAUCAGAAAACACAUAUAGGGGAGAAACCUUUCAAAUGUACUGCGUGUGGAAGAACUUUCUUCCAGCAGUCACAAUUUGCUGAUUAUUAGAGAAAACACACAU